Molecule: ribosomal RNA, 305 nt
Filed under: uncultured bacterium
Lineage: Bacteria
Description: bacterial SSU rRNA
Rfam family: Bacterial small subunit ribosomal RNA
Source: RNAcentral
CCUACGGGACGCAGCAGUGAGGAAUAUUGGUCAAUGGGCGCAAGCCUGAACCAGCCAAGUCGCGUGAGGGAUGACGGUCCUAUGGAUUGUAAACCUCUUUUGUCGGGGAGCAAGGCCCGCCACGUGUGGCGGGAAGGAGAGUACCCGAAGAAAAAGCAUCGGCUAACUCCGUGCCAGCAGCCGCGGUAAUACGGAGGAUGCGGGCGUUAUCCGGAUUUAUUGGGUUUAAAGGGUGCGUAGGCGGGCCGUUAAGUCAGCGGGAAAAUUGCGGGGCUCAACCCCGUCGAGCCGUUGAAACUGGCAGG